Gallus gallus (chicken) is the source of this 1448-nucleotide long non-coding RNA. Lineage: Eukaryota; Metazoa; Chordata; Aves; Galliformes; Phasianidae. The record is from Ensembl.
AUUUUCCCUUUGCCCGGGCACUCGCCGAGCGGGCUGGAGCAAUGAUACUGGAAGAAGAUGGAAGGGCUGGAAGUUCUAAUGUGUAAAUGAGACUGAUGUACACCUUCUUGGUCCAGCUCCUCUUGUGACAGGCCUUGUCCAGCUCCCAUCUGUGCUGGAGAAGAAAGGGACUGGUUAUUUCAUAAGGUUGCUAAUCAGCAGCUCCCUUCUCUUACUCCUCCUGGCCAUUUUCCUCAGACCUGCUGGAAGUCUGUAUGCAGUUGCGGGGCUGUGCCCUCAUUGAAGUCUUCAAACAACUGGAAGAAGCCUCCCAUUUGCAGGCCCUAGUUGUUGUAGGGGACUUUAACCACCCUCACAUCUGAACCUUGGGUACAACAGAGUUCAAGCAAUCUUGGAGAAUUCAAGAGUGCACCAGUGACAGCUUCGUGGCACAGGUCAAGGAGCUAAUGGCGAAAGGUGCUGUGCUGGACAUGAUUCUUAAAAACAAGGAAGAAGAACUGAUUGGGAAUGCGAAAGUGGGGUCAGCCUUAGUGGCAGUGACCAUGAGAUGACUGAGUUCCGGAUUCUAAGAGGAGGGAGCAGGGUGAAAGGCAGGACCGCAAGCUUGGUUUCAGAAGAAUGAGCUUUGGCCUCUUCAAAGGUCUGCUUGUAAUAAAUCCUGGAAAGAACAGGUCCAGAAUUGCUGCUUGGUAUACAAGGAUCACCUUCAUGCUUAAGAAAGAUCCCUCCCAACAAGUAUGAAAUCAAGUGAAGGCAGCAGGAGGAAGGCAGACAGGCUUUUCUCAGUAGUGCCCACAGAUGGGACAAGAAGCUCAAAUUGAGACAUUGGAGAUUCCUUUCUUCUUUAUUUUCACUGUGAAAGUGGUCAAAAAUUGGAACAGGUUGCCCCAAGAGGUUCUGGAUUUUCCAUUCACGGAAAUAUAUGUUCAAAACCAAGUGGGCAUGGUCCUUGGCAACUGUCGCUCAUCUUGCCUGGGAGCAGUUGGACUGGGUCACCUCAAAAGUCUCUAUUGACUUCAAAAAUUCUAUGAUUUCUGUGAAAAGUUUUCCUAUCUGCCAAGUGCAAAAAGAGACACAAAGCUCUACUUAGCUUGACACAAGGAGUAGGUCACAAACUCCCACUGUGUCCGUAAGUGGCUGGGACUGAGUUGGGAAGACAGAACUGGCCAUCUUCUCUUUAAUCGUCAGGGAGCUACAUGGUCUUUCCAGGUCCAGUUUAAGAAAGUGUUAACAGUCUUCUUCUACUGAUGAACAGUUGUGCUCUCUCUCACAAAGAAACAUUUAAAAUCUUUCUCAUUUUUUUUAAUCAACAUUCCAGUAGCCAGUCUAUGAGAGUGACUUUGGUAUUAUCCAGCAGUGAUUGAAUGAUUCCUAUUUGCUGUGAAGGUGACCUGCAAAGCAAACCACUUUUUAUCCUCUGCUUCUUUAUGAUGUAUAAAGAAACCAGA